This 1227-nucleotide long non-coding RNA is filed under the name Cyanistes caeruleus (blue tit). RNAcentral's name for it is "lncRNA (ENSCCEG00000020174.1)". Lineage: Eukaryota; Metazoa; Chordata; Aves; Passeriformes; Paridae. The record is from RNAcentral.
AUUACAAAGCACUGCUAAACCUCAAGUUUGGAUGAGCCCAAACAACAGUAUAGUUUAUCAGGUGAAUUUUAGAGGCAGCUGGCUCUAAGAAGCCCAUUAGAUAAGAACUGAGGAGUGUUGCCUGUUUUCCUUAUUUCUGGAAAAAAGGAGUGUCAGUGAUUUCCCUGUCUGGACUGAGCCCAGCUGAUCCCAGGCUAAAACUGGAGCUGGAUCAAAGCUGUAGCAACAACAGGAGCAGAGUCAGGAGGUCCUGGAAGCUUUGAUUGGAGGAGAAAAGAGCAGGAAGCUUUUUUGUGCUGGAUUCCCAAGUGGACUUGGGGAAGGCAAGUGUCUCAGCAGUGGCUCUUUUGCAGCUCUUUUUAAGGGGACAAAAUCUUCUGUUAAACUGUUGAAAAUCUUUCUCUGCACCUUCAAAGCUCUGUUGAAAUGCUUAGAGAAUAAAAAAACCAUCAUUUUUAGGGCAACAAAGCUAAAAUUAACUUUUUUUAAGUGCUUACCGCUCCAGACUGUGUUUUCUGCUCUCCAAAGGUUGUGGGCAUGGCACCCAACUAAGUGGAAUGUGAGAGCAAGCCCUGGGCUGUUCCCAGGGCAGGUGUUUCUGGGAAUGCUACAAAAAUCCAGGCAGAGAUUCUGGAGCAGAUUCUUGGGGUUCCAUGGAUGGGGUGCUUCUAGAGAAGGGUGCAAAACUGAACAUUAUGAUGCUGGAGGGAGGUUUAGAUUUGUUUCAAGAGUUUAGAAAGAAUGACAACACCGAAGUUUAGAGAAAUCUGCUUUGCCGUGGUUAUUUUUAGUAACUCAGGAAGAAUUUCUUCUUUCCUCAGUAAAGGUCACCAGGGAAAUUGUAUUAAGGUCAUUAUUUAAUCUGAUUAAUUUUUCACAGGUAGAAAGAUGAUUAUUUUUUAAUGUGUUACAUUUCAGACAUCAGACCUAGACAGCAUCGCUCUUCCAGCAUUCACAAAGAGUUACUUUAUUCCAAGCUGUUAUCUCAGAAAUGUGGGUGAGAGGCUCUUUUAAUGAAAAAGGAAAGUGCAGGUUUUAAAUAUAUCAAAUAUUGAGCAGGCUUUGCUUGGAUUUAGCAUUACACAGAGCUAGUCCUAGGGAGAGGGGGGGAAACAAAUUGCUCAAUGCUGAUUAAUCACCACGGUUUAAAUGAGGAACACGAAGGAUAAACUCAAAACUUUACCCCAUCACCAAGCCAAGAAUAAUAAAUAUUUGUUUCUCCCAGCA